UGGGGAAUCUUGCACAAUGGGGGAAACCCUGAUGCAGCGACGCCGCGUGAGCGAUGAAGGUUUUCGAAUCGUAAAGCUCUGUCCUAUGGGAAGAUAAUGACGGUACCAUAGGAGGAAGCCCCGGCUAACUACGUGCCAGCAGCCGCGGUAAUACGUAGGGGGCGAGCGUUGUCCGGAAUUACUGGGCGUAAAGGGUUCGCAGGCGGCAUGACAAGUCCGAUGUAAAAGGCGUAAGCUCAACUUUCGUAAGCAUCGGAAACUGUCAAGAUUGAGUGAAGGAGAGGGAAGUGGAAUUCCUAGUGUAGCGGUGGAAUGCGUAGAUAUUAGGAGGAAUACCGGUGGCGAAGGCGACUUGCUGGACUUCAACUGACGCUGGGGAACGAAAGCGUGGGUAGCAAACAGG
This 403-nucleotide ribosomal RNA is filed under the name bacterium. Its description in RNAcentral is "partial 16S ribosomal RNA". It matches the Rfam family "Bacterial small subunit ribosomal RNA", at positions 355 to 776 of the family's 1533-position model. The record is from RNAcentral.